UGUAGCACUGCUUGGGGUUGUUUUGUCCAAAGUGCAGGACCUUGCACUAGGCCUUGUUAAAUCUCACCCCAUUUCAGCACCACUUUCCCUUUUCCACCACAUCUGCCUCUUUCCCACCCCACACUGCAUUUUCCCCCAAACCAGGAGCACCUGGGUGCUGUUGGAGUCUCCUCCCACCCCAGGUGUGACCACUUUGCCCUCCCUGCCUGCUCCCCUAUUUAAUCAGCCUCAGGAAAGGCACCAGUCCUAAACUUGCCCAUCUGGGCAGAGGGAUCCUCCUCCCAUCAUCACUGGCAUCAACCCGUGCAAUGCUGUGGGAAGCACUGAGUGAGCCUGGAUGGAGGAAAGGUCUGAGAAUCCCUGCUCUUCAAGCAAGUUCCUUCACACCCAGCUCCACUGCAGCUCUGCGGGAAGAUGGGUUUGUAGACCUGGCUUCACAGAUCUCCUCCUGGGGUCAGAGGACCAGAGGGUAAGUUCUGCUCGCAUCCAAGCUGUGGUUUGGCCGCCCAGCUGCGGUUUGGCUGUGCAGCCACCCUGCUGUCCUCCUAAGGCAUCUCCACCACCAUCUCAGCUACAAGAUCACCUUGUGAGGAGGAGGAUUUCACAGGUUGGCUGCAGUUCCCCAUCAAAGCUCUGCUGAUGUGUUUAAGGCAAAUAAAAUGAAUAACAGAGGAAAGUCAAAA
Molecule: long non-coding RNA, 683 nt
Organism: Pogoniulus pusillus (Red-fronted tinkerbird)
Lineage: Eukaryota; Metazoa; Chordata; Aves; Piciformes; Lybiidae
Exons: 2
Source: RefSeq, a predicted model, not a curated record